UUGUCGCCGUCUUCGCCGUCAUUGCUGCCUCGACUCUAUUUCAUUCUUCACCGGUAUUGUCUCUUGCCAUUUUCAUUUUUCUUCCCCUUUUAAUUUCCUCUUUCAUUUCCUUAGAUAUUUUCUGCUCUAAAACCCCAUAAAUGUUUCAUUCUCAUAUUUCUUCUUUCUCCUCUCUUUUGACAUGCCUGGCAACGACAAUGAAUUAACGAAGCGCACACAACGGCAUCGACUUCCUCCAGCGCAGAGGUAAGGGUUCAGAUUCACAUCCAUUCAAUUUUGGUUCUUUCAAUUUAUUGGGUGAUUGUUCUUCUAGCUUUUACUCACAUAAUUUUUUUGGUAUGUAAAAUUAUAGAUUUCUCCUCAUUCUGAUAUGUAAUAGUAUUAGUUUUGCCCUGAGAUUGAGUUUUUGACUUUAUCAAUGAACCAACACUUUAGUUUUGAUUAUUUUGUUACAAAUUCAUUUAUUCUUAAUGGAUGUUAGAUUUUACAUGUGUUUGUUUAAUUUUCUUUUAUAGCUGUAUCAUGUUUUGCCUUUUUUUCUUCUUCUCUGUAUUUUGGGAGUAAAUUGCAUUUUGGGUUGGUAGAGAUUUGAAAUCAUUAUGCAUAGAAUGAAAUUAGUUAUGCUUUGAACAUUGUUUGGGUUGGGCUGAUAUUUAUCACAAUAUCUUUCGGAUUAGGUAACAUAGUGUUUCUAAUCCCAUGUUUACAAUUGUUGGUGGUAUGUCCAAUGUAAUUCUAUUUAACAUGAAUUGCUAUGGAUACUAUAUGUUUCAUUUAUUCAAGACUAAUCCCAUGUUAGUUUCUUUAUAUUAGUUAAUGUGUUGACUGUUGUUUAUUGACAUUUGACUCAUUAUGCCGGGAAUCUCAACAUAGUUUCAAUAGUUCAAAAAGUAGCAGAAUUAGCUUUACUGAUCUUGCUGAACAGGAAUAGAUCAGUUGUUGGGGCAACAUAGAAUGUCUAAGGGAUGCUCUAGCUAAGUUGUAAGUUGAAAUUAAUAUAUGAUAUGAUGGUUGAAAUUAAUAUCUUGAUCUUAUUUUACUUCUUCAUUCUUUCUAACCACUGUUUCAUUUCAUCGAUGCAGACACUUAUGCUCUUACUAAAUAAUCUUUCCAGGAAAAUAGAAGUUCCAAUCACAUACUUUAAAUUCUAUAAAUGUGAGUAUGAUAAUGAUUUAAGACCGAGUUAGUAUGUGGCUUCUUAGUGAUUCAGAUUUUUGACGCUUUCAACUCAUAUAGUUUAUAUUUCUUGGUGAAGCACAUGCUAUGUAAUAUAUGAUUCAAAUUUUGUAAGUAUAUGAAUAAUACAUGUCAGAGUAGUGUUUGUUUGUACUUUUCACAUUUUUUUUUGGUAUGGCCUCCAAACUCAAUCAAACACAAGAAUAUCCACAUCUAAUAAAAAAUGAAAGUUUUAUUUUGACACCAUAACAAAUUAGUUUGGAAUUUUUAUUGUUAUUACGAGUUCAGAUAACAAAAUAUAUCAUAUUAUAAAUUAGACAAGUUAGUAAAGUAUGAACUAUUUUUUUUGGACUAAAUGGACAGGCAUGAGUUAGGAUCCUCUCCAUUUCCAAUUUUUUCCAUUUCCUCCAUUAUUAUGUAGUUUUGGGAAUAUAAAUGCAAAAAUGUGACAUUAAGUGGGUUCAAAUAUCAUUUAUACACCCCAAAAUAUUUAAAAACUUUGGUAAUGGAAGAAAUGGAAAAUAUGAGAAAUGGAGAGGAUCCCAACUCGCCAGGCAUGAUGAUUUGUUUAAUUCAUGUAUUCUUUCCUUUUUGUGUUUACUAACAGCCAACAGGUGUGACGACUAAUUGAAUUUAUUCAAUGUUUAUUAUGAAUUAUUUACUAUUUUUAUAUGAAAACAAUAAUUCAAUAUAUUUUGUCAUGUUAUACAAUUAAAUUUAAUAUAGUGGGGUGAUUUGGCAGUAUAAACGAUUAAUAUUAAAUAAUAUAGUAAAAUUAUUUUACACUGUCGUUGUAAAUUCUAUUUGCUCUAACAAAUUCACAAUUUAUUGAUGUUACAUAUAUGACCCGUGCGAACGCACGGGCAAAAUGUCUAGUGAUAGUUAGUACUAUAAUACUCCCUAAUCCUCUAAUUAAUUUCCCUCCAAACAACCUAUUAAUUAAUUAAAAUUAAAUUUUUUUUAAAAAAAAACGAGGUUGCAUAGAAAAAAACGCCCCACCCAUGCCUUAAUUGUAGUUCAUUGAGCCACUCAAUAUAAGGUAUAUGGAGCCACAUAAAAGCAUUUAAACAUGUGUUCCCUAUAUAUGCUAUUUACAAGGCCUGAUUGAAUUUUUCUAAUAAAUAGCAUUUAUUGUUUGUAUUUCUUAAAAAUUGGUCACUUUCUCUCUCAGUUUUCUCUCUCUCCCUCUCUCAUAUCGCUCACUCUCUCUCCCUCUCUCAUGUAAUUCUCUGUAUACAAAUUUCUCCUGUCUCUCCGAUAUAUGCCUUCUCAUUCCUGCAUUUUAUUUCAUUCUAGCAAGCUUCACCUUUACAUUUUGCUUUGUGAUUGUCCUCUGCAGGUUUGAAUGGAGCGCACUAGGAGGAGUUUGGUGGUGGUUGAGGGGAUUCUGAGAUGAAUUCAUUGAAGGAGUCAUCGAUCAGUAAGGUAUUUAUAGUUACAAUAAUAUUUUACGGGUACAACACCUCCAUGACUGUGUUUUGCCAAUUUUAGACUUUAAUCCGUUGCUUCUAUUCCAGGAUUUAGAAGAAUGGAACCUGAAUGGCCAUGAAAGUAAGUUUUAAAUUUUAUCUACCUUUUUGUUUCUUUAUUUUCAUGAAAUCAACAUUUAUACACUUUUGUGUCUUGCUAUUAUUGAAAUUCCUUUUGAAUCUGGUCCAAGAAGCAAGCACCUAUAGAAGGAAGUGAUCAUAGAUUUAGGUGGAGAUUAUUUGAUAAGACAGAAAGAAACUGCAAGUGCGAGAAGAAGAGUUUGACAUAUUCAGUUUGCUUAAUGUAAGUUUUAAAUUGGGGUUUUUAAACUUAGUGUUCUUUCUUCUCCAGUUGCUGAAUCUAACAACGUUGAGAUUCUUUUGCAGGGCUCAUUGGCAAAUUAAGGUAUUUUUUAUUGUACUUUUAAUUUUUGAUUAGUUUGCUAUUUCUUUUUUUAUUGCUUUUAUGAUUCUUAACUUUAAUAUGAUAUCAUGCUAUUUCUAUUCUUGCUUAAUAAUUCUAAGUCUCAGUAUACUCUUACAUAUAUCUUGACCUAUUUUAUUGUUAACAUUUUAAAUUUGUUUAUCAAAUUGAAGUUUUUGUAAUUACAGAAAUAUGGACUACUCAAAUUCAACUUAAUCAAUGAGUUAAUUUCAUUAAAAAAAAAUUACCAUUAGUGACAAUAGUUGUAUAUUUGUGAACCAUCUAUGAUAUUUGCAUCAUGUUAUACAGUUUUUAUGAUCUCUUAUCCACUUUAAUGAUUUGUACCUUUUGGAAUGAUCUAGGACAUAUUGCUCUGUUAUUGGCAUUUGGAAGUACUUAUGUAGUUUUAUGGCAUUUGGAAUGUUUUUAUGGUCUUCUAUUGGAUUCAUAUUAUGUAGUUUUAAGUAUGCUUUUCAUAAGUUUAAUAAAAUACUGACAUAACUUGAAACUGAUAUGCUUCACGAGGCUAUCAAAGAAACGAAUUACUCAUUUUUCAUGUCCUAUGUAUAAGCAAUCGGUUUCUCUAUAAAAUUUAAAUUGAUGUCCUUGGCUAAUUGAUAUUUUAUUCUUUAGCUUCAUUUUGGAAAUGGUAAUUGAUGUACUUGGCUAAAUUGAUGUGCAAAUUUUUGAAAGAAAAUAUUGUUGAAAAAUGAAUAUGCAAAUUUUUUAGCAUAGUUUAUUUGAUCUUUAUAUGCUGCAGAGCCUCUCUUGCAGAAAGUUGAAGCAACAUAUCAUUUUCACUUGAAGUUUCAGCUUAAUUGGCUCUUCAUUCUUUCUAACCACUGUUUCUUAAUUGUUGUGUUAUAUGGUAGCAAUGUUACUUGCAAGAUAACAAUUGUGGAAGAAGGCAGUAUCAAUCCUAUCUUGAAGUUUCAGCCUUGGAAUAAAUUUUUUUAAUUUAUUUUCUCAAUGUAUGAUGUAAUGUUAGAGAAUGAUAUGGUUGUUUUGGUAACAUACAAUAGCUCUUAACUUUCUUGGCAAUGACAUCUUAAAGAAGGAAAUGUAGUGAAUAACAUUUGUGUUAGAAUUCAUAUUGAUUAAUAUUUCUAUUGUUCUUUGUGCAAAAUAUAAUUCAAAGAUAUAAAAAUUAAUUAGAAAUACA
Molecule: long non-coding RNA, 4231 nt
Filed under: Trifolium pratense (red clover)
Lineage: Eukaryota; Viridiplantae; Streptophyta; Magnoliopsida; Fabales; Fabaceae
Description: long non-coding RNA (TPRA_LNC000744)
Source: RNAcentral